Pichia membranifaciens is the source of this 72-nucleotide transfer RNA. It matches the Rfam family "tRNA". From Rfam's summary of the family: Transfer RNA (tRNA) molecules are approximately 80 nucleotides in length. Lineage: Eukaryota; Fungi; Ascomycota; Pichiomycetes; Pichiales; Pichiaceae. The record is from Rfam.
UCCGAUGUAGUGUAAUGGCUAGCACGGUUCGCUCUCACCGAGCAGAUCCGGGUUCGAUUCCCGGCAUCGGAG